CACAAGCGGUGGAGUAUGUGGUUAAUUCGAUGCAACGCGAAGAACCUUACCUGGUCUUGACAUCCCGGAGACCCUUAGGAAACUAGGGGUGCUUCCAUCUGGAAGAAUCUGGAGACAGGUGCUGCAUGGCUGUCGUCAGCUCGUGUCGUGAGAUGUUGGGUUAAGUCCCGCAACGAGCGCAACCCUUGCCUUUAGUUGCCAGCAGUUCGGCUGGGCACUCUAAAGGGACUGCCGGUGUUAAACCGGAGGAAGGUGGGGAUGACGUCAAGUCCUCAUGGCCUUUAUGACCAGGGCUACACACGUACUACAAUGGCCGAUACAAAGGGCAGCGACACUGCGAGUUGAAGCCAAUCCCGUAAAAUCGGUCUCAGUCCGGAUUGGAGUCUGCAACUCGACUCCAUGAAGUUGGAAUCGCUAGUAAUCGUGGAUCAAGCAUGCCACGGUGAAUACGGUUCCCGGGCCUU
Molecule: ribosomal RNA, 464 nt
Filed under: uncultured Desulfobulbus sp.
Lineage: Bacteria; Pseudomonadati; Thermodesulfobacteriota; Desulfobulbia; Desulfobulbales; Desulfobulbaceae
Description: bacterial SSU rRNA
Rfam family: Bacterial small subunit ribosomal RNA
Source: RNAcentral